Molecule: ribosomal RNA, 391 nt
Filed under: uncultured bacterium
Lineage: Bacteria
Description: bacterial SSU rRNA
Rfam family: Bacterial small subunit ribosomal RNA
Source: RNAcentral
AGCGAACGUUUGCGGCGGGCCUAACACAUGCAAGUCGAACGCACUAGCAAUAGGUGAGUGGCGCACGGGUGCGUAACACGUGGGUAAUCAACCCUUCAGCUUGGGAUAACGACGUUGAAAGGGUCCGCUAAAUACCGGAUACGGCGCGGGAGGCUUCGGCUUCUCACGAGGAAAGCCUCGCAAGGGGCACUGAAGGACGAGCCUGCGGCCCAUCAGCUAGUUGGUGAGGUAAGAGCUCACCAAGGCGAAGACGGGUAGCUGGUCUGAGAGGAUGAUCAGCCGACACUGGAACUGAGACACGGUCCAGGACUCCUACGGGAGGCGAGGCAGUGGGGAAUAGUUGCGCAAUGGGCGAAAGCCUGACGCAGCCACGCCGCGUGAGCGAUGAAGG